UACGUAGGGUGCAAGCGUUAAUCGGAAUUACUGGGCGUAAAGCGUGCGCAGGCGGUUUGUUAAGACAGAUGUGAAAUCCCCGGGCUUAACCUGGGAACUGCAUUUGUGACUGGCAAGCUAGAGUAUGGCAGAGGGGGGUAGAAUUCCACGUGUAGCAGUGAAAUGCGUAGAGAUGUGGAGGAACACCGAUGGCGAAGGCAGCCCCCUGGGUCAAGAUUGACGCUCAUGCACGAAAGCGUGGGGAGCAAACAGG
This 253-nucleotide ribosomal RNA is filed under the name uncultured bacterium. RNAcentral describes it as "partial 16S ribosomal RNA". It matches the Rfam family "Bacterial small subunit ribosomal RNA", at positions 524 to 776 of the family's 1533-position model. The record is from RNAcentral.